RNAcentral lists this long non-coding RNA (2475 nucleotides) under Homo sapiens (human). RNAcentral's name for it is "non-protein coding lnc-GIPC3-3:2". Lineage: Eukaryota; Metazoa; Chordata; Mammalia; Primates; Hominidae. The record is from RNAcentral.
ACGCCCCUCGGGCCCGGGCCUGGCUGACUUGGAGUCAGUGGGUGCCCCCCGCACGCCGGGACACCCUACAGCCUUCUGGGGAAGGCGGCGCCCUUGGGACCCCCAGGCCACCGGUGGCAGGGAUGCAAUGGCCCGCGUAGGGGUGGCAGGGGCGCUUCCUCGGGAGCCUCAGCCCCUCCAGCCGCCCAGCGCCCUGCCAGGCCUCUUCCCGGCGCUCCCGCCGCCAGGCCCGCAUUAUUCACCAUCUGGGCAGCACCCAAGGCCUGGAGGGGGCGGGGCAGGUCCAGGCGGAUCGGCUCCCGGGGGUCGCCCAGACUCCAGGGCUCCAAAUUCACUGGGUGCGCUGGAACGCGGCACACAGUAGUAGUAUGCCCUGCUUAAUACAUACAGGACAUAUUUGAGGCCCCUUCCAGGGGUGGGGUGGGAGGACAGAGGGAUGGGGGGUGCACCAGACGACACAGCCAGACUGAGAAAGGUGGUCCCAGAGCAGGUGAGCCGGGAGGGCUGGGGUGAUGGCAUCGCAUGGGAGGGUCUCUUGAGGAGGCUCGGAGGUGGCUUUGGAGCCAGAGGAGGAACAGUCUGGAGCCGGGAGGCUGCAGUGGGGGAUGGGCACUCUUUCCUGGCCACCCCCCAGCUCGGGCUGGGGAAGGAGGGAUGGAGCCCAACAGGAAUGGCUGAGAAGGUGCCGGACGCAGGGACUGGGACCGUCUCUUUGCAGAGGGGGGACCUUGGGCUUCCUUGGCCUUGUUUGUACACCCGAGCCGGACAGAACCUUGAGUUAGGGACCUGGAGUGGGACCGGACAAGCUGACCUUGCCCUGACUGCACCCCACCCCGUCCCCUGGGCCCGGGAGGGCUGCUAGUCCAGGCUGUGAGUGAGGGGUAUUCCCAGCCUGGCCCGGCCCUCUCGUCAGCCCAGUCCGGAAGCCCCUUCCCCGGCUACCCCGCCCACUAUCCUUCCUCCUCCUGGCCUUCGGCCACACCCAACCUCCCUCCCAAAGCUCUAUCCCAUUAAGUCACCAGCCAUUUAACACAACUUCUCUCUUUCCUGGCAAGGAGGCUAUCCAACUCCUAUGGAUGUGGCAAAACCCUGGCUCCAAGGCUGCUUUCCCGUGAAGCCGACCUAAUCUCCAAGUCUUACUCUCCCCAACCCCUCUCUGUGUUCAGCUUAUACAGUGGGACAAUUAUGAGCUCCAAGUGAGACCUGAAACCAGGCCUGCCCUUCAGGAUGCCCUAGGCUGGAGAAUGAACUGGACACAGGCUGUUCCAGCCCCCUGGGGUCAGGGCUGGGCCAAAGGAAGAGACAGGGCCUAGGGAAGCCCAGAGGUGAGCUAGGAAGACAUCUUGUGAGGAGAGGGCAUGGGAAGUGGGGUUUUGUAGGAUGAAUAGGAGCUCCCCAGGUCUGGGCUACGUGGCAGUGACAGGAAUUGCAUGUAUAAAGCUUUGGAGGCAAGAGAGAGCAUGAGGCCCUUGCUACACUAACUGCAAGGAGGGCAGAUGUUGGGGGAGGAGGAUGUGGGGCUGGGGCUCCAGAUGAGGGGGCAGUGAGAGACGGAGGAAGGCUGUCCUGUCCCCACUUCCUCUGUCCUCGGCCCUGAGAUAACAAGGACAAUGACUCUUCUGGGAAACAGCCUGGGCAGAGUUCAGAGAAGGACACUUGCAUUUAGCUUAAGCCUCACCACAUCUCUGCAAGGCAGGGGGUAAAGAUACUCUUAAAUUUUAGAGAUGGGGAAACUGAGGCACAAAGGGGGAACAAUGCCACGCCCAUGUGUGGGAUUGGAACAUGAGCACUGGGCUUCCCUGUCAUCUGGGGCUGGUUGCUGGUCUCCCGGUCUUGGCCCGCCCCCCGCCCCCCACCCCCCGCCAGCACUUCGGGUUCAAUGGGAGCACAGGAGGCUCUGGUGGGAGGAGUUGUGAGGGGCUGGGGGGCAGAUGGUGGGAACAGAGGCCAGGCUCAGGAUGUACCCCCGUGGCUGCGGUUUCCGGCGGGGGCCGGGCAGGGAGCGUCUAUUCUUAGCUCUGGACACAGCCAAAGUCAGGAAGCUGGGUGGGGGCGGGGGCAGCUUCCAGGACACCAGGUGGACCUCGGGCCAUGGUGGAGAGUCAUGGGGUAGAUGGGGGGGUGGUGUGCAGAGCCUACCCCUGGCCCCCACCUCCAGUCUGCCUGCAGGGUCUCGACACCCAGCUCGGAGGCCCUCCCCAGCUCACGCGCCCUCCGUAGCUCCCUGGUGCCCAGCUCCCCUAGGAUCUGGCUCCUUAGCUUGGCCUGAGCCCUGUGUGCCCCCUGCCCUGGGCACACCUGCUGCCCUGUCCUCUGCAAGGCAGCCGUCACCCUUCUCGGCCAGCAGCCCGUCUUCCCAGGCUCAGUGCCCGUGACCCUUCAGGGGUCCCAGGGCCCCAGCUCUGCUCCCUCCAGACUGGGGCCCCUGGCAAACCAUGUGUCUUGCCAGUUGGAGGACAGCCAUCUCCCUUGGGG